RNAcentral lists this ribosomal RNA (433 nucleotides) under uncultured bacterium. RNAcentral's name for it is "partial 16S ribosomal RNA". It matches the Rfam family "Bacterial small subunit ribosomal RNA", at positions 29 to 507 of the family's 1533-position model. The record is from RNAcentral.
AACGAACGCUGGCGGCAUGCCUAACACAUGCAAGUCGAACGAGACCUUCGGGUCUAGUGGCGCACGGGUGCGUAACGCGUGGGAACCUGCCCUUAGGUUCGGAAUAACUCCCCGAAAGGGGUGCUAAUACCGGAUAAUGUCUUCGGACCAAAGAUUUAUCGCCUUUGGAUGGGCCCGCGUUGGAUUAGCUAGUUGGUAGGGUAAAAGCCUACCAAGGCGACGAUCCAUAGCUGGUCUGAGAGGAUGAUCAGCCACACUGGGACUGAGACACGGCCCAGACUCCUACGGGAGGCAGCAGUGGGGAAUAUUGGAGAAUGGGCGAAAGCCUGAUCCAGCAAUGCCGCGUGAGUGAGGAAGGCCUUAGGGUUGUAAAGCUCUUUUACCCGGGAUGAUAAUGACAGUACCGGGAGAAUAAGCUCCGGCUAACUCCGUG